RNAcentral lists this ribosomal RNA (470 nucleotides) under uncultured organism. RNAcentral's name for it is "partial 16S ribosomal RNA". It matches the Rfam family "Bacterial small subunit ribosomal RNA", at positions 334 to 797 of the family's 1533-position model. The record is from RNAcentral.
CACUCCUGCGGGAGGCAGCAGUAGGGAAUCUUCCACAAUGGGUGCAAACCUGAUGGAGCAAUGCCGCGUGAGUGAAGAAGGUCUUCGGAUCGUAAAGCUCUGUUGUUAGAGAAGAACACGUGCUAGGUAACUACUAGCGCCUUGACGGUAUCUAACCAGAAAGUCACGGCUAACUACGUGCCAGCAGCCGCGGUAAUACGUAGGUGACAAGCGUUGUCCGGAUUUAUUGGGCGUAAAGGGAGCGCAGGCGGUCUGUUUAGUCUAAUGUGAAAGCCCACGGCUUAACCGUGGAACGGCAUUGGAAACUGACAGACUUGAAUGUAGAAGAGGAAAAUGGAAUUCCAAGUGUAGCGGUGGAAUGCGUAGAUAUUUGGAGGAACACCAGUGGCGAAGGCGAUUUUCUGGUCUAACAUUGACGCUGAGGCUCGAAAGCGUGGGGAGCGAACAGGAUUAGAAACCCGAGUAGUCCC